AAAAGGACAGAAGGCAUGUCUUUUUAUUUUUUGGUUUCUGGUUUUGGAAAACGCCCUACUGAUUGUAAAUUCAGUCAGUGCAUUUUCUGGGUGUCUGAAAUAGUGAACUUUGCGCUUUUCAGGUGCACAUUUUUCUACCAGAGACUUGACCACGGUAUCUUUGGUAGUUUUUAGCGUUCGAUUUUUAUUGUAACAUGUUGUAUUGUUGAAAUGUAUUUUUCGUUCCUGUUCGGUGCCGAAAGGCUGUUAGAGAAUACAGAUACUUGGUAAUUGAUAUGGGUGUCGUAGUGAGAUAAGAUAGAAAAAAUGUAAAAUGGUGUAAAGAAGUGGGUGUUUGGGAGAUGUCUGUUUGAAAAACUGCGUUGUGUUGUUUGGAAGUGUUUCAUGGAACCAGGUAAUUGAUAUGGGUGUCGUAGUGAGAUAAGAUAUAAAAAAUGUAAAAUGGUGUAAAGAAGUGGGUGUUUGGGAGAUGUCUGUUUAAAAAACUGCGUUGUGUUGUUUGGAAGUAUUUCAUGGAACCAGGUUUUGGGCAAAGCUCUACUCCUGCUUCUGGGUCUUUUGACAAGACUAGGGUAUUGGAUGUGAGACCAUUGCGAUGCCUUGUACCUAUGUUCCCAUCGCAGCCUGGCUCGUCGACAUUUUCCCCUCAUUCUUCCCCUUUUGUAUCUGUUUCUCCCUCAGGUCCUUUUCCACCUGGGUUUGCCCCAUUUUACCCAUUUUCUGCACCACCAGAGUCUCAAAGGCCACCAGAGCAGAGUCCACGAACCCCGAUUGCUGUGCCCAAUCAAGCUGGCCAUUUUGGCAUAAACAAUCCGAUUUCAACGGCGGUUCCAAUAACUUCAUUUAGAACACCACCACAACCAUCCCAUCCAUCACCAGAUGCAACUCGGCACCCAGGGGCCGCAAACGGUGAUGCAGGUCCACCUAGAAGGAGUUCUAGAAAUCGUACAGUAGAUAAUCAAUCUCAGUCACAGAGUGCAGCAGCAGAAGAUGGGUACAGUGACAGUCAAAAUCAGAUUGCUCAAUAUGUAAGCACCUUCAGUAUGCAUGUAACUGAUACAGAAGAUACAACUAACGUAGACGUGCAAAAGGGUAAGUCCCAAAAGAGGACAAGGAGCAGUCAAAGGGUCAAUUUAUCCUCUCCUGAUGUUGAUGUGGAUUCAGUUGUUAAUAAUCUUCUCACAACAUAUAAUCUUAUGGCAAUUGAUUCGUUCCGGAGAGCUGAUGGUGACAAGGAGUGUGUUGGGUUUAUUCUCAUGUUAUAUGAUUCGCUCCGGAGAAAGAUUAGCCAAAUUGAGGAAGUAAAAAAGGCUACUCCCGGGGUAACAAGACGCCCUGACUUAAGAGCUGGUACACUGUUGAUGAACAAAGGGUUUCGGACUAACACCAACAAGAGAGUGGGGGCUGUACCUGGUGUUGAAGUUGGUGAUAUUUUCUUUUUCAGAAUGGAGAUGUGUUUGGUAGGAUUACAUGCACCAAGCAUGGCUGGGAUUGAUUACAUGGGUGUUAAGAUCACUCAAGAAGAAGAACCACUCGCUGUCAGCAUCGUUUCUUCUGGAGGAUAUGAGGAUAAUGUUGAGGAUGGGGAUGUGUUGGUAUACAGUGGUCAAGGUGGGAAUGUUUAUGGGAGGGAUAAGCAGAUAGAGGAUCAGAAGCUUGAAAGGGGUAAUCUAGCUUUGGAGAAAAGCUUGCAUCGGGCUAAUGAGGUAAGAGUCAUUCGGGGUCUGAGGGAUGUGGCAAAUGCAACUGGGAAGGUUUAUGUCUAUGAUGGUCUUUAUACAAUCCAACGUUCAUGGGUGGAGAAAGGGAGAUCAGGUUGCAGUGUCUUCAAAUACAAAUUGAUAAGAGUGCCUGGUCAGCCUGAAGCAUUUGCAAUGUGGAAAUCAAUUCAACAAUGGAAGGAAGGUCUUACUUCUAGGGUUGGGGUUAUCCUGCCGGACCUUACUUCAGGAGCAGAAUAUUUGCCAGUUUGUUUGGUAAAUGAUGUUGAUGAUGAAAAAGGACCUGCUUAUUUCACUUAUUUUUCUACUCUCAAAUAUUCAGAACCAUUUAGUUCAUUAAAACCUUCAUCUAGCUGUAGUUGCCAAGGUGGUUGCCUUCCUGGUAACUUCAACUGCUCUUGCAUUAAAAGAAAUGAAGGCUAUCUUCCUUAUAGUGCAAAUACAGUUCUUGUGGACAACAAAUCCUUGAUGCAUGAAUGUGGUCCUGCCUGUUCAUGCCCCCCUACUUGCCGGAACCGAGUGUCACAAGCUGGUUUGAAAGCCCGCUUAGAGGUGUUCAAAACUAAGGAGAAAGGUUGGGGUUUAAGGUCCUGGGAUCCUAUUCGGGCAGGAGCCUUUAUUUGUGAAUAUGCUGGGGAAGUCAUUGAUAAUUCGAAGAUGCAGGAGGUUAGGAACAAAAAUGAAGAUGACUACAUUUUCGAUGCUACCCGCACUUACCAGCCACUGGAAAUUAUGCCUGGUGAUUCUAAAGGGGCUCAAAAGAUCCCAUUUCCCUUAAUUAUAACUGCAAAAAACAUGGGGAAUGUAGCUCGCUUUAUGAACCACAGUUGCUCUCCAACUGUAUUCUGGCAUCCAGUUUUACGUGGAAAUAGCAGUGAGUCUGAUCUCCAUGUUGUGUUUCAUGCAAUCAAACAUAUUCCUCCUAUGACAGAGUUAACAUAUGAUUAUGGGAUAAUUGAGUCCAGCACUGCAGAACAGAGGAAGAAAAAAUGUCUUUGUGGAUCUUUGAAAUGCAGAGGUUAUUUUUAUUAGUGGCUUUUGUUUUGAUUUGUGAAAUUUGGAGAUCCUUUCUAAUCCACUCUUCUGAAAAAAGUGAUUCUUGGAUGGAGGCUGGUGCAGUGGUGCUUUCAGACAUUGUAGUUAAUUCAAAGCAUUUGAAUACAUGUGGUUGUGUACAUCAGAUGGAGAACUUUGGACUUGGGCUUCCAUUACUUGCAAAUAAUAAAAGGCUAAUCGCCCAGAAUUCUUAAUCCGGACAGUGUAGUAUGGCCUUGUUUUAGAAAGAGUUGAUUUAUCUGCUUUUCAUUUCAUCCUUGCGGCUUUCAUCAGUCUACAAUUUCCCCGCAAUCUACGUGAGGUUGAAAUCGCCACCAGCGGUUCUGAACACAUUUUGCCUAAUGCCUCGGGUGUGAUGGGUGUGCUUGGUUCAUAGGUACACUCCAAGCAAAUCUAAAAUAGAAUUAGUCUACUUGUGAGUGUAGUUCGUGGGGCUUUAAUUCCAGAUUUUACUUUUCCGCUUGUCAUUGUAACGGCCUUUUCAAUUUGUAACAAUGGUCUUUUGUCAGACUGCUCCUCUAUUUAUUUCAGCUUCCUUUAUGUCCUCGCCCAA
Malania oleifera is the source of this 3330-nucleotide RNA transcript. It is a transcript of the gene named histone-lysine N-methyltransferase, H3 lysine-9 specific SUVH1-like, with no coding region annotated. Lineage: Eukaryota; Viridiplantae; Streptophyta; Magnoliopsida; Santalales; Ximeniaceae. The transcript has 5 exons. The record is from RefSeq and is a predicted model, not a curated record.